RNAcentral lists this ribosomal RNA (440 nucleotides) under uncultured bacterium. RNAcentral's name for it is "partial 16S ribosomal RNA". It matches the Rfam family "Bacterial small subunit ribosomal RNA", at positions 338 to 795 of the family's 1533-position model. The record is from RNAcentral.
CCUACGGGUGGCAGCAGUGGGGAAUAUUGCACAAUGGGGGAAACCCUGAUGCAGCGACGCCGCGUGAGUGAAGAAGUAUCUCGGUACGUAAAGCUCUAUCAGCAGGGAAGAAAAUGACGGUACCUGACUAAGAAUCCCCGGCUAACUCCGUGACAGCAGCCGCGGUCAUACGUAGGGGGCAAGCGUUAUCCGGAUUUACUGGGUGUAAAGGGAGCGGAGACGGCAGCACAGGUCAGGAGUGAAAUCCGGGGGCUUAACCCCGGAACUGCUUUGGAAACUGGGCGGCGGGAGUGCAGGAGAGGAGAGCGGAAUUCAAGGUGGAGGGGUGAAAUGCGUAGAUAUCAGGAGGAACAGCAGUGGCGAAGGCGGCUAACUGGAACGUAACUGACGUUGAGGAGCGAAAGCGUGGGGAGCAAACAGGAUUAGAUACCCCAGUAGUC